This 1124-nucleotide ribosomal RNA is filed under the name uncultured bacterium. Its description in RNAcentral is "bacterial SSU rRNA". It matches the Rfam family "Bacterial small subunit ribosomal RNA", at positions 17 to 1168 of the family's 1533-position model. The record is from RNAcentral.
UCCUGGCUCAGAUUGAACGCUAGCGGGAUGCCUUACACAUGCAAGUCGAACGGCAGCACGGACUUCGGUCUGGUGGCGAGUGGCGAACGGGUGAGUAAUGUACCGGAACGUGCCUAGUAGCGGGGGAUAACUACGCGAAAGCGUAGCUAAUACCGCAUACGCCCUACGGGGGAAAGCAGGGGAUCGCAAGACCUUGCGCUAUUAGAGCGGCCGAUAUCGGAUUAGCUAGUUGGUGGGGUAACGGCUCACCAAGGCGACGAUCCGUAGCUGGUUUGAGAGGACGACCAGCCACACUGGGACUGAGACACGGCCCUGACUCCUACGGGAGGCAGCAGUGGGGAAUUUUGGACAAUGGGGGAAACCCUGAUCCAGCCAUCCCGCGUGUGCGAUGAAGGCCUUCGGGUUGUAAAGCACUUUUGGCAGGAAAGAAACGUCAUGGGUUAAUACCCUGUGAAACUGACGGUACCUGCAGAAUAAGCACCGGCUAACUACGUGCCAGCAGCCGCGGUAAUACGUAGGGUGCAAGCGUUAAUCGGAAUUACUGGGCGUAAAGCGUGCGCAGGCGGUUCGGAAAGAAAGAUGUGAAAUCCCAGAGCUUAACUUUGGAACUGCAUUUUUAACUACCGAGCUAGAGUGUGUCAGAGGGAGGUGGAAUUCCGCGUGUAGCAGUGAAAUGCGUAGAUAUGCGGAGGAACACCGAUGGCGAAGGCAGCCUCCUGGGAUAACACUGACGCUCAUGCACGAAAGCGUGGGGAGCAAACAGGAUUAGAUACCCUGGUAGUCCACGCCCUAAACGAUGUCAACUAGCUGUUGGGGCCUUCGGGCCUCAGUAGCGCAGCUAACGCGUGAAGUUGACCGCCUGGGGAGUACGGUCGCAGAUUAAAACUCAAGGAUUGACGGGACCCGCACAGCGUGAUGAUGUGAUUAAUUCGAUGCACGCGAAAACUACCUACCUUGACAUGUCUAGAAGCGAAAAAAUUGGCUGUGCUCCGCAAAAAACUGGAAACAGUGCUGCAUGGCUGCCGUCCACUCCUGUCGUGGAAGGUGUGUUAAUCCCCCACCAGGCCACCUUGUCUUAUUGUCUCAAGGGACCUUCUAAUGGAAUCGCGCGGUGGAACUCGCGG